UUUGUACAAGGCUUAGGCUUUAUAAAAACAAAAUAAAACCUCAUAUCAAAUCCUCGUCUAGAGAGCAUUUUCGACAAGAGAAAUCUCCAUGAUAAUUCUAAAACCAAUUUUAACUACUGAUAAUAAAAUUUAAACUAAAAAAAUAUAAAAAUAUUGCUGAUAUGUGAAUACUUAUUUUUAAAAGCAAAAUGGACGGUCUAGAUAAGUUGUUACAAUAGACAUUAUUUUUUUUGAAAUCUUAAGUUUUUUUAUCAUAUGUAAAAGUUUUCCAAAUACUUAGAAUUACAAUUUUCGAUGAAUUAUGAGGUGAGACUUUACUUAUUUUGAUUGGGUUGCAGCC
RNAcentral lists this long non-coding RNA (340 nucleotides) under Amborella trichopoda. Its description in RNAcentral is "long non-coding RNA (ATRI_LNC003224)". The record is from RNAcentral. Lineage: Eukaryota; Viridiplantae; Streptophyta; Magnoliopsida; Amborellales; Amborellaceae.